AUGAUUGACCAAUAUAAACAUCAACAACUUCAAAUUGGACUCGUUUCCCCUCAACAAAUAAAGGCUUGGGCUAACAAAAACCUACCUAAUGGAGAAGUCGUUGGCGAAGUCACAAGGCCCUCUACUUUUCAUUAUAAAACCGAUAAACCAGAAAAAGAUGGACUGUUUUGCGAAAGAAUCUUUGGACCCAUAAAAAGCGGGAUUUGCGCUUGUGGCAAUUCUCGAGCGAGCGGAGAUGAAAACGAAGACGAAAGAUUUUGCCAAAAAUGCGGGGUAGAAUUUGUGGAUUCUCGCAUACGAAGAUAUCAAGGAUACAUCAAACUCGCAUGUCCCGUGACUCAUGUGUGGUAUUUGAAAGGUCUUCCUAGUUAUAUCGCGAAUCUUUUAGAUAAACCUCUUAAGAAGUUGGAGGGCCUAGUAUACGGCGAUUUCUCUUUUGCUAGGCCCAGCACAAAAAAACCCACUUUUCGAUUACGAGGUUUAUUCGAAGAGGAAAUUGCAUCCUGUAACCACAACAUUUCUCCCUUUUUUACCCCAGGCUUUGCAACAUUUCGAAAUCGGGAAAUUGCGACAGGAGCAGGUGCUAUUAGAGAACAAUUAGCAGAUUUGGAUUUGCGAAUUAUUAUAGAGAAUUCUUUGGUCGAAUGGAAGGAAUUAGAAGACGAGGGGUAUAGUGGAGAUGAGUGGGAAGAUAGAAAAAGACGAAUAAGAAAAUUUUUGAUUAGACGCAUGCAAUUGGCGAAACAUUUUAUUCAAACAAAUGUAGAACCAGAAUGGAUGGUUUUGUGCGUAUUACCGGUUCUUCCUCCCGAAUUGAGACCUAUUGUUUAUAGGUCUGGAGAUAAAGUAGUGACUUCAGACAUUAAUGAACUUUAUAAGAGAGUUAUCCGUCGGAACAACAAUCUUGCCUAUCUAUUAAAAAGAAGUGAAUUAGCGCCAACAGAUUUAGUAAUGUGCCAGGAAAAAUUGGUACAAGAAGCCGUGGAUACACUUCUUGAUAGUGGGUCCCGCGGGCAACCAACGAGGGAUGGUCACAAUAAAGUAUACAAAUCACUUUCAGAUGUAAUUGAAGGUAAAGAGGGAAGGUUUCGCGAGACUCUGCUUGGGAAACGGGUCGAUUACUCGGGGCGUUCUGUCAUUGUUGUGGGUCCUUCGCUUUCAUUACAUCAAUGUGGAUUACCUCUAGAGAUAGCAAUAAAGCUUUUUCAGCUAUUUGUAAUUCGCGAUUUAAUCACGAAAUGCGCCACUUCUAAUGUAAGGAUUGCUAAAAGGAAAAUUUGGGAAAAAGAACCCAUUGUACGGGAAAUACUUCAAGAAGUUAUGCGGGGACAUCCUGUACUGUUAAAUAGAGCACCUACCCUGCAUAGAUUAGGCAUACAGGCCUUUCGACCCACUUUAGUAGAGGGGCGUACUAUUUCUUUACACCCAUUAGUGUGUAAGGGUUUCAAUGCGGACUUUGAUGGAGAUCAAAUGGCUGUUCAUCUACCUUUAUCCUUGGAAGCUCAGGGAGAAGCCCGUUUACUUAUGUUUUCUCAUAUGAAUCUCUUAUCUCCCGCUAUUGGGGAUCCUAUUUGCGUACCAACCCAAGACAUGCUUAUCGGGCUUUAUGUAUUAACGAUUGGAAAGCGUUGAGGUAUUUGUGCAAAUAGAUAUAAUAGUUGCAGAAACUACCCAAAUCUAAAAGUAAAUUACAAUAAUAAUAAUAAUUCUAAAUAUAGGAAAGAUAACGAACCCCAUUUUUCUAGUUCUUAUGAUGCACUGGGAGCUUAUAGACAAAAACUAAUCAGUUUAGAUAGUCCCUUGUGGCUACGAUGGAACCUGGAUCAACGCGUCAUUGGGUCAAGAGAAGUUCCGAUUGAAGUUCAAUAUGAAUCUUUGGGGACUUAUCAUGAGAUUUAUGCCCACUAUCUAAUAAUGGGAAAUAGAAAAAAAGAAAUCCGUUCGAUAUACAUUCGAACCACUCUUGGUCAUAUUUCUUUUUAUAGAGAAAUAGAGGAAGCCAUACGAGGAUUUAGUCAGGCCUAUUCAUACACUACCUAA
This 2040-nucleotide ribosomal RNA is filed under the name Triticum aestivum (bread wheat). RNAcentral's name for it is "partial small subunit ribosomal RNA". Lineage: Eukaryota; Viridiplantae; Streptophyta; Magnoliopsida; Poales; Poaceae. The record is from RNAcentral.